Molecule: long non-coding RNA, 589 nt
Filed under: Homo sapiens (human)
Lineage: Eukaryota; Metazoa; Chordata; Mammalia; Primates; Hominidae
Description: HSALNT0058508
Source: RNAcentral
UUUUAAUAGCAUACUUACAGGAACAGCACAGCAGACAGACAACAUUAAAAACGUACUUGCAUGUAGGACAACUCAGUUAGAAAAACAUAGUGAAUGGAUGGAAUCUACUGUGUGAUAAAAAUGCUACAAACACCAUUUAGUUGCUGUCAAUAAGAAAUUUACUUGUUUUUAAAAAAAUGCUAAUGCUGGCAUUGUCUAGAAAAAUUUAACAGGUUUAUUUAUAAUUAUUAUAAAGUUGAACUGCUGAAACCUGUUCACUGAAACAUUUUAACUUGCAUUAAUGCUUUACAUCUCCACAUUUAUAUUAAAAAUUUACACACAAAUGAAAAUUGAAAAAAUGCCAUUACCUGAUUUCUAUCCCCUAUUUUUCCACUUGCAAUCAUACACUUAGGUAUCUUUUGACCCCAUGGAAAAAAAUAUCUAACCUUCAUAACCACCAAUAACAGGAAGAAGAGAAUUUUUUUCUUUUUCUUUUUUUUUUUCUUUUUUUCUGAGAUGGAGUCUCACCUAUCGCCCAGGCUGGAGUGCAGUGGCACGAUCUCGGCUCACUGCAAGCUCCACCUCCUGGGUUCACACCAUUCUCCCGCCU